Molecule: ribosomal RNA, 560 nt
Filed under: uncultured bacterium
Lineage: Bacteria
Description: partial 16S ribosomal RNA
Rfam family: Bacterial small subunit ribosomal RNA
Source: RNAcentral
UGGGAAUAUUGCACAAUGGGCGAAAGCCUGAUGCAGCGACGCCGCGUGAGGGAUGACGGCCUUCGGGUUGUAAACCUCUUUCAGCAGGGACGAAGCGCAAGUGACGGUACCUGCAGAAGAAGCACCGGCUAACUACGUGCCAGCAGCCGCGGUAAUACGUAGGGUGCAAGCGUUGUCCGGAAUUACUGGGCGUAAAGAGUUCGUAGGCGGUUUGUCGCGUCGUUUGUGAAAACCAGCAGCUCAACUGCUGGCUUGCAGGCGAUACGGGCAGACUUGAGUACUGCAGGGGAGACUGGAAUUCCUGGUGUAGCGGUGAAAUGCGCAGAUAUCAGGAGGAACACCGGUGGCGAAGGCGGGUCUCUGGGCAGUAACUGACGCUGAGGAACGAAAAGCGUGGGUAGCGAACAGGAUUAGAUACCCUGGUAGUCCACGCCGUAAACGGUGGGCGCUAGGUGUGGGUUCCUUCCACGGAAUCCGUGCCGUAGCUAACGCAUUAAGCGCCCCGCCUGGGGAGUACGGCCGCAAGGCUAAAACUUAAAUGAAUUGACGGGGUCAUAGCU